UACGGAGGGUGCGAGCGUUAUUCGGAAUUACUGGGCGUAAAGCGCGUGUAGGCGGGGAGGCAAGUCUGAUGUGAAAGCCCUGGGCUUAACCCGGGAAGUGCAUUGGAAACUGCUUUUCUUGAGUUCUGGAGAGGAAGGGGGAAUUCCCGGUGUAGAGGUGAAAUUCGUAGAGAUCGGGAGGAAUACCAGUGGCGAAGGCGCCCUUCUGGACGGAUACUGACGCUGAGACGCGAAAGCGUGGGGAGCAAACAGG
RNAcentral lists this ribosomal RNA (253 nucleotides) under uncultured microorganism. RNAcentral's name for it is "partial 16S ribosomal RNA". It matches the Rfam family "Bacterial small subunit ribosomal RNA", at positions 524 to 776 of the family's 1533-position model. The record is from RNAcentral.